Molecule: long non-coding RNA, 425 nt
Organism: Papaver somniferum (opium poppy)
Lineage: Eukaryota; Viridiplantae; Streptophyta; Magnoliopsida; Ranunculales; Papaveraceae
Exons: 3
Source: RefSeq, a predicted model, not a curated record
CAGACCUUUGUUCUGGUCCCCUUUCUCUAAAUAAUUUUUCCCAUCUCUAAAACCCCAGUGCCAGUGAGUGUUGGAGGGUGAAUCAAUGAGAGUUUGUUGAUAUAGUUCCUUGAGGUGCAGUAGUGUGAAGAGUUUCAACAACAAGGAUGCAAAUGGGUGCUCUUGCUGUGGGAUGAGGGAUUACGGAUCGUCAGGCCGACUGGGGCACCCCACCACGUCGGUGGUUACCCGGAAGUUACCUGGAAGAUCAUUGCGGCAAUGAUGGCUGGUAACCAGAACUACCCUGACGUUGGCUCUGGCCUUGUAAAGAGUAGAGCAAAUCUUAUUUUGAAUUUAAAUGAAUGGCAGCAUACAAAUGUUUAAGAGCGACUAUUUUACAUUUAUUGUGAGCUUCAUAUUUCAGUUUAAUGUUCUUACUUGUGGCA